RNAcentral lists this ribosomal RNA (399 nucleotides) under Gryllidae gen. 1 sp. 1 JD-2021b. Its description in RNAcentral is "partial small subunit ribosomal RNA". Lineage: Eukaryota; Metazoa; Arthropoda; Insecta; Orthoptera; Gryllidae. The record is from RNAcentral.
UAUUAUAUUUAAUAUUAUAUAUUUACUAGGGUAGUAAUAGUGAGGAUUCUUAAAACCCAAAGAAUUUGGCGGUGUUUUAGUCUUUUCAGAGGAAUCUGUCCUAUAAUUGAUAAUACACGAUUAGUUCUACUUAAUUUUGUUAUCAGUUUAUAUACCGUCGUCAUAAGAUUAUUUUUGUUUAAGAAUUUGAUUUUCUUGUUUUUUAAGUGGAUGAAAUGUCAGGUCAAGGUGUAGCUUAUAAUUAAGUGGAGAUGGAUUACAAUAGAAUUAUUUAUUACGGAUAAUUAAUUUUAAUUUGAUUUGAAGGUGGAUUUGAUUGUAAAUUUAUUUUUAAUUUUUAUGUUGAUUAGAGCUCUAGAAUGUGUACAUAUCGCCCGUCGCUCUCGCUAUUAAGGUGAG